GAUGAACGCUGGCGGCGUGCUUAACACAUGCAAGUCGAACGGAAAGGCCCAAGCUUGCUUGGGUACUCGAGUGGCGAACGGGUGAGUAACACGUGGGUGAUCUGCCCUGCACUUCGGGAUAAGCCUGGGAAACUGGGUCUAAUACCGGAUAGGACCACAUUUUGGGUGGUGUGGUGGAAAGUUUUUCGGUGUGGGCUGAGCUCGCGGCCUAUCAGCUUGUUGGUGGGGUAAUGGCCUACCAAGGCGUCGACGGGUAGCCGGCCUGAGAGGGUGUACGGCCACAUUGGGACUGAGAGACGGCCCAGACUCCUACGGGAGGCAGCAGUGGGGAAUAUUGCACAAGGGGCGCAAGCCUGAUGCAGCGACGCCGCGGGGGGGAUGACGGCCUUCGGGUUGUAAACUCCUUUCGCUAGGGACGAAGCGUUAUGUGACGGUACCUGGAGAAGAAGCACCGGCUAACUACGUG
RNAcentral lists this ribosomal RNA (466 nucleotides) under uncultured bacterium. Its description in RNAcentral is "partial 16S ribosomal RNA". It matches the Rfam family "Bacterial small subunit ribosomal RNA", at positions 28 to 507 of the family's 1533-position model. The record is from RNAcentral.